CAGUCGCCGCGGUAAUACGUAGGUGGCAAGCGUUGUCCGGAAUUAUUGGGCGUAAAGGGCUCGCAGGCGGUUUCUUAAGUCUGAUGUGAAAGCCCCCGGCUCAACCGGGGAGGGUCAUUGGAAACUGGGAAACUUGAGUGCAGAAGAGGAGAGUGGAAUUCCACGUGUAGCGGUGAAAUGCGUGGAGAUGUGGAGGAACACCAGUGGCGAAGGCGACUCUCUGGUCUGUAACUGACGCUGAGGAGCGAAAGCGUGGGGAGCGAACAGGAUUAGAGACCCCAGUAGUCCCUGUCUCUUAUAC
This 301-nucleotide ribosomal RNA is filed under the name uncultured bacterium. RNAcentral's name for it is "partial 16S ribosomal RNA". It matches the Rfam family "Bacterial small subunit ribosomal RNA", at positions 509 to 807 of the family's 1533-position model. The record is from RNAcentral.